RNAcentral lists this unclassified non-coding RNA (344 nucleotides) under Hevea brasiliensis (rubber tree). Lineage: Eukaryota; Viridiplantae; Streptophyta; Magnoliopsida; Malpighiales; Euphorbiaceae. The record is from RNAcentral.
GCCUUUAGAUGAUUCAUACACCAUGCUUGAAAACAUACAACAGUGGACACACAACCAUCCAAAAUGAUUGGAUGGUGCGCACAGACAUGCUUCAAUGUUAUUAAUUCAGCCAUUCAAUUAAUUGCACAUUUAAAGAUAGGAAAAACUUCAAGCAACUACAAGGAAUUUUUUUACAUGCACAAGUGAAAGCUUUUCUCUCUAGCUAAAGAUCAACAUGGAAAAGAUAAACUCUUUGAUACUUGCCAUCACUUUGUUUAUUUUAAGCCUUAGGAAAUCACCGAGUUCUUUCAUCUGGGAUGAAGAAAUCAAAUCGGACAUCAACAGAACCAGAAGUUUCUCCAGUA